GGAUAGAGAGAUGUGAGCAAAAGAUGCGUGUGCAAACAAAACCAGAAGAAGAAUUGAAUCAAGGUUGUGAGAAAACAAAGAUGAGCGUGGACUGGUCUGAACUACCACCAGAAAUCAUACAAACAAUCUCACAAAAGUUAACAAUCUACGCCGAUUACAUCCGAUUCCGAUCCAUCUCUCACACCUUCCUAUCUUCCAUUCCUAAAACCCCUCACCAUCUCCCACCUCAACUCCCAUGCCUCCUUCUUUCUCACCAAUCCUUCUUCAACAUCUCCACCCACAAAACCCAUCUCUUCAAUCUUCCUCUUCCUUCUCAUCGCACUCGUAUUUGCGCUUCUUCUCAUGGCUGGCUCAUAAUUCUCAAUGAAACCCCUCAGAUUCGUCUUUUUAAUCCCUUAACAUGUGUCACUCUUUUUCUUCCUCCUAUUCACACUUUCCCUAACGUGGUAAGCUUUGAUUAUUCAAAUAUCGGCCGUGAGUAUUCGGUUACAAACGAUAGUUAUUUAAGAUUUUUUAGUUUGAGACAAAUGUGUGAUGAUUUCAUAGCUAAAAUUGUAUUGUCAACAAGCCCUUCGCUUAGCGAUGAAUUCGUUGCACUUGCUAUUGUUGAUGGUUAUAGUUGUAAUAAUCUGGCUUUCUGUAAAAAAGGUUAUGAUUCUUGGAUUUUCCUAACCAAAAAGAAUGAUUACUAUUUUUGGGAAGAUGUUGUGUAUUACAAUGGAUUGUUUUAUGCUGUCAGCAAAGGAGGAACAAUUGCUGUGUGCGAUGUUAAUAGUCAUCGAGUUUCCAUUUUUCAGAUGACGGUGCCUGUUCAAUUCUCCGGGGAUAUUCACUAUGUGGUGUUCUCUGGUGAGGAUAUGUUGUUGGUAAAUCGGGUUUUGGAAGAGGAUUUUUCGGAUGAACCCAAUUAUGAUAUGCUUGUGUAUAGGACGGUGGGAUUUACGGUUUUUAAGAUGGAUUGGAAUGCCAUGGCAUGGAAUAGAAUUGAAGCGUUGGGUGAUAAGGCUUUGUUUGUUGGGGUGAAUUCUUCAAUGUGUUUUUCUGCUGGUGAUUUUGUAGGAUGUUGUGGAGAUUGUAUCUAUUUCACGGAUGAUUAUUCAGAGGAUAAUCAUGAUGAUGCUUGUGGGAAACAUGAUUUUGGCAUCUUUAGAUUAUAUGAUGGGAUCAUUGACCCGCUAUUGCCCAGUUAUUCUCGAAAUUCAUAUUCUCGGUUAGAAUGCCCACUUCCAAUUUGGAUUUCGCCAAAUCCUUGCUAAGUUGUAUUCUUUCUCUUUCAGUGAAACGAGUUUGUGAAUCCAGGGAGAUAGAUAUAUCCGCUCCUAUUUAAUUCAUACGCAGCUCUUUGUGUGUGCACAUAUCUACAUCAUAUUACAUUGCAUCAGCUGUUACACUCCAGUUCCAUUAUUAUAUAAAGGAGAAGUUGACAGAGGAAAAACAUCACCAAUUCCUUGAAGCUUUGAAACAUGGUUGUGAAUUGCAGCUAAUUUUCCCUAGCCUAAUCUCAUUUCCACCGAGGCCUUUUCGGGAUCUAAGAAUUGUGUUGAGUCUCAAUCAACCUGUGACCAAGAUAACCAAGCAAGCUUUUGGUGUCUCUAACUAUGAA
RNA transcript from Medicago truncatula (barrel medic), 1603 nucleotides. It is a transcript of the gene named F-box protein At2g26160, with no coding region annotated. NCBI's taxonomy places the organism in Eukaryota, Viridiplantae, Streptophyta, Magnoliopsida, Fabales, Fabaceae. The transcript has 3 exons. The record is from RefSeq and is a predicted model, not a curated record.